Molecule: long non-coding RNA, 575 nt
Organism: Heterocephalus glaber (naked mole-rat)
Lineage: Eukaryota; Metazoa; Chordata; Mammalia; Rodentia; Bathyergidae
Source: Ensembl
CCUCAACCAAGUCUAUCAGAUGUCUCUGCUCUGUACCCAAGAGAAUAAGACAAAUGCCUUGUGUCUUCAUGUUCACGCUGCUGGAAAUAUUUGGGACUAUUUCUCUCAAUCAGUGGGGAUAUGUGUGCCUGAGUGCAGACUCUUCACCUUCCAGCACAGACCCUUUGGCCUCCUGAUACAGACUCACAUGGGGCACCACCACAUGGAGCUCCAGGCCUUCGAGUUGAUCCUUCAGAUCCCCAGUGCAAAGACCUUUUCCACUCUUCUACACCAGACUCUGUGGGUGGCCAUGGGAUCGAACUCAGGUCCUUGAGCUUGUGCAGCAGGCGAUGAAACCACUGAGCUAAAUCCCCAGCCCCUGAUAACACCUUUCAUUAAGAAUGGAAAGGCAAAGCUUUUCUGGGGAAGAAAACGGAAGCAUCAGGCCCCAUGUUUCUACCUCCUUCCAAAGCAGACUGUGUAUGCUUGGAAAGAAAAGUAUUUUGGAGCAUCAAACACAUCUGCAUGUGUGCAGCAAAUGAGUAAUGGAAAAGCACCAAAGGAGAGGUAUAGGAGUUCAAGAUUCACCAAGGAAC